RNAcentral lists this non-coding RNA (31 nucleotides) under Mus musculus (house mouse). Lineage: Eukaryota; Metazoa; Chordata; Mammalia; Rodentia; Muridae. The record is from RNAcentral.
UAUCAUGUGUGCAUAAAAUAGAUACAAAGCC